RNAcentral lists this long non-coding RNA (251 nucleotides) under Physcomitrium patens. Its description in RNAcentral is "long non-coding RNA (PPAT_LNC009942)". Lineage: Eukaryota; Viridiplantae; Streptophyta; Bryopsida; Funariales; Funariaceae. The record is from RNAcentral.
CCAUCACUUGUUUCAGCACGAAAAUCAUAAUCACUGGAAGUGUGUCGUCCUUUCUGAGGAUCGCCUACCUUGGUCGCAGCACCGCAGCAAGUUAUUGGCAACAUCAUAAAUUUUCUCCGCGAACAAGCAUAAGAUAUCCGAAUUUGGAACAGCAUAGCUAACGUCUGAGGAAUUGAAAUAGAGAAGAGGAGAGAGGGCUGCACUACAGCUAUAACAUCACUUGCAUAACGGCAACCACGACAAAAAAAUUC